UUUAUUUCUGGGAUUUUCCAUUUAAUAUUUUCAGAUCAAAGUUGACCACGGACAACUGAAACCACAAAAAGUGAAACCUUA
Molecule: long non-coding RNA, 81 nt
Organism: Myotis davidii
Lineage: Eukaryota; Metazoa; Chordata; Mammalia; Chiroptera; Vespertilionidae
Exons: 3
Source: RefSeq, a predicted model, not a curated record